AUCCUCACAAAUGCAGUGAUGUUACAUAGAUAUAAACUUCAUAAAUAUUCAGAACUAUACUCUUAGAAGUACAUGCAUACUUAUUAAAAGUAAAUGAAAACCAAAUGGGUUACAAACACAAAAUCCAGGGUAGCAGUUGGGAGAGAAGCAGGCAUCUAUGAUUGGGAAGGGAACACUGGGGACUUGAGAGUUCUUAAUAUAGGUGGUAACACCCUUUCAAUGGCUGUUUUAUGUGUUAGCUUUACUGGGCCAUGGGAUGGCCAGAUAGCUGGUUAAACAUUAUUCUUGGGAGUGUGGAGAGACUAUUGGAAGAGAUUAGCAUUCAAACUGGUGGACUGAGUAAAGCAAAUAGUCCUCCCCAAUGGGAAUAGGCAUUACUCAAUCUAUUGACAGCCUGAAUAGAACAAAAAGGUAGAAGAAGUUUUAAUUUGCUCUUGGCCUGACUGCUUAAACUGGAACAUACAUCUUCUUAUGAACAAGGAGCUCCUGGUUCUCAAGCCUUUAGACCUGGACUGGAAUCUACACCACUGGCUCUCUGGCCUUCUAACUGCACCACCAGAUUACCUGAGUCUCCAGCUUGCAGAUGAUAAACCACAAAUUCAUCUUCUUCCAUGCUUUGUGAUAAAAGAAUUGGGCCCUGAAACUUUCUUCUUUGCCACCCAGCAAGAUGUUCAUCCUUGUCAAUAGAGGAUGCUGAAGGGAGACUUGGGGAGAAAGGAGUUUUCUUUUUUUGGUUCAGGCGUGGCUCUCUUGCCAGACUCCAGCAGAGAGUGUUUUCUCUAUUGCUUGGCCCACAGUUUCUCCCGUGCUCAGUUCCUAAGGAAUGCUCCUUUCUCCAGUAUUUGGCUGCAGUGCAAUCCUUCCAGCUCUCUACUCAAGCAGUGGUGGUAUACCUGGGAGCCCAAGAGCAUGCAGGCUGGUGCCCCAGCCCAGGUCACUGUUCCAAACCUCAGGAACGUACAUGCCCAGGACUGCAUAAGGCUGGGCAUCUAGCAAGCUGGCCACCUGACUUUUAUCCCUGCAAAUGUCCUAGAGAUACUCUGGUCCAAUCCAAGCACAAAAGUGAACUAAACGCUGCAGAAGAAAGCCCCUCCAGCACCCAGUUCCACAAGUGCUCAGCAGCCCACAGCUUCCCUCAGCACCUAGAAAGUUCUGAGGCUCCAAAAUUUCCUGCAGUCAGCCUUCUCCAACAUCCCCGAGGAAGACUUCAGGCACGUUCUCCUAGCCCAACACUGCUGGGACUUCUCUGCCAGAGUCUGGCGGAUAAUGUGCUCCACCUGACCAACAAAAGGAAAAUAGCGUAUUCAAGAAGCAAGAAAUUCAACAAAGGAGUGAAUUAGAGGGAAUUCACAUCCUGCCUCCAGUUUCCCAGAUAUGAAGGACUGUGAGACUAAAUAAAUCAUUAUAUAUUCCACAAGCAAUUCUCCUGCGACAGCCUUUCAAAAAAGAAUUAGGAAGCCUGAAUAUUAAAUGCCAGCAACCCAUGACUAGGAUAAGGUCAGUUUCAAGGAUAAAGACAUUUUUGAAUUGAGCAGUUUGUCACACUUACGUAAAAACAAUUUGAACAAUAAGCCUUUGUUAUUGUAUGUCUAAUUUAUGAAGAAAGCCAUUACCCUCAGUAACUUCACUUACAAAAAGGGAAAGUAUACGCAUCCUCUCUCUCCCCUUCUAUCCUUCUAUCUCUCUCUCUCUCUCUCUCUCUCUCUCACACACACACACACACACACACACACACACAUAUACACUGAUCACAAAAUUGAAUGUCAGUG
Molecule: long non-coding RNA, 1769 nt
Filed under: Homo sapiens (human)
Lineage: Eukaryota; Metazoa; Chordata; Mammalia; Primates; Hominidae
Description: HSALNT0062517
Source: RNAcentral